CGCCCGCCGGCCCCGGGGCGCAGGGCGCGAGUGUGCGCGGGGCCGGGCCGCGCGCGGGACACAAAAGGGAAUGGACGCGCGGGGGCGGCGGGCGGGGAGCCGCGGCCCCACCGAAGGGACCCCCGGCCGCCGAGCGGCCUCUACGUCAGCGCCCCGGGUGGCGCCGCCUCCGCCCGCCGGCCUGGGCCGCCGCUCCCGCCGAGGGAAGGCGGGCCGGGGACCGCGGGGACAAGGCGGGCUGGGGGACCUGCCGGGGAGAAGGUGCAGCCAGCAACCCCCCCCUCCCCCCGCAGGAUCCUGACUCUCCUGAUGCUCAGCCCCCAGAGGAGGACAGAAUUCAGGGAGCCAGGGGCGCACUCACACAGGUCAGCUCUAGAAAGCGAGAGUGAUUAUGUGGAAUUGGAGCCCCACCCCCAUCCCUGCUCAGAGCCCCCAGGCCUCGUGUCCCUGUCAGGAUUGUGGCUCUAGGGCAGCAGGGCUAGAGGGGUGGGGACAAGAGGUGCUGCUGCCUUGCUCUGGGCGCUGCAGCCUCAGCAGGGGGGUCAGGGUCUGGGGUGGGGGGCGCUGAGGGCUCCUUCCCCCCAGCUGCAUCCAUGCUCCUCUGGGGGUGCCUGAGCAGUGGCUUCCAAUGUGCAGUAGUGUUCUGCCCCCUGCUCCUGGGGGAUGCUGGCCACCUGAAGCACAGGACUCCAGCCUGGACGGAAAGCCUGGUCCAGGCCACUCGGCGGCGGCAGCCCGGACAGGCAGGUGCUCAGCUGAGUCUGCGGCCUCUCGGGACCACCUGUCCCACUUGCAGGCAGCUCCGCUGAAGUGCUCCGUCCUCUUGAGGCAAAACCCGCCCUGGCGUGGCCAGCCCCGCUCCCCCAGCAGAUGACCCCUGGACCGCAGCCUGGCAGUGCCCAUGGCAGGGCCUUAGCUGGGAGGCACCAGCAUGAGGAGUGAGAGUGGAGAAGACUCUGGGCAAUGGGGGGGGGGGGGAGCUCCCAACCCCCCGCCAGCCCCGUGCUCAGCGCCUUCCUCCCUGAAUUGUAGCUGUCACCCUCCCCUCUGGAGUCCUUCUGCCUGGACCUGGUGCGGACUCUGGGAAGCACUGUCCACCAGGAGCACCGUGGUGCGAGUUAGUGCGGAUGAACAGUGCUGAGUCUGCAGGGCAGCCCAGGGCGCCCGCCCGGGCACUGCUGAGGGACCGUCCCCUCACACCAGCAGUGUCCGUCUCCACCCUUGGCGGUCCAGCAAGGCCAGAAGUUUCUGCAGGCCCCUGGGCUGCAGCCCUCCUCCCACACCUCCAUCUCCUUGUUUACAAACAAGGACAGCGUCACCAGCAUUUAGCAAAGGCUCACCAGAGGCUUGCUUAGUUCCUUGCAGGCUCCAGCAGCAAUCCCCACCCCCACCCCACCCCACCCCCCACCCCCGCUGCCUGGGAAGCACACAGCAUCAGCCCUGGGCCACCCCUGCUCCACAGACAGGCACCCAGAUGGGUGCCAUUCCACAGGACACUGAGGCUGGAAGCAGCUCAGUCCCUCCCGGAGGAGUCAGCCUGCUGGCGGGAGGGAGAAGCAGGCCGGGAGCCCCCACUUCCCCGGGGCCUGAGGCCAUUCCAGCCACCCUGCCCUCCCUGUCUGCACGCGUCCACUGCAUCUGGAAGUGUCCGCAGAGAUGCUCGAAGCUCUUCCAAAGCCGCGGGCCGACUACACACUAAAGGAGAAGCUAAUUCCUGGCGGGGUGUGUGCGCCCACCCAGAGACUGCUCCUCAUCUCCCAAGUGCCAGCAGCACCCAAGAACCCUGUGUGGUGGCUUCUCCCCUCAUCAGUGGGUUCUCUCUAUCCAUUGAUGCCUGCCCU
This is a long non-coding RNA of Mirounga angustirostris (Northern elephant seal), 1841 nucleotides long. RefSeq lists it as uncharacterized. NCBI's taxonomy places the organism in Eukaryota, Metazoa, Chordata, Mammalia, Carnivora, Phocidae. The record is from RefSeq and is a predicted model, not a curated record. The transcript is spliced from 3 exons.